CCUACGGGUGGCAGCAGUGAGGAAUAUUGGUCAAUGGACGAGAGUCUGAACCAGCCAAGUAGCGUGAAGGAUGACUGCCCUAUGGGUUGUAAACUUCUUUUAUAUGGGAAUAAAAUGUUCCACGUGUGGGAUUUUGUAUGUACCAUAUGAAGAAGGAUCGGCUAACUCCGUGCCAGCAGCCGCGGUAAUACGGAGGAUACGAGCGUUAUCCGGCUUUAUUGGGUUUAAAGGGAGCGUAGGUGGAUUGGUAAGUCAGUUGUGAAAGUUUGCGGCUCAACCGUAAAAUUGCAGUUGAAACUGGCAGUCUUGAGUACAGUAGAGGUGGGCGGAAUUCGUGGUGUAGCGGUGAAAUGCUUAGAUAUCACGAAGAACUCCGAUUGCGAAGGCAGCUCACUGGACUGCAACUGACACUGAGGCUCGAAAGUGUGGGUAUCGAACAGGAUUAGAUACCCCAGUAGUC
Molecule: ribosomal RNA, 460 nt
Filed under: uncultured bacterium
Lineage: Bacteria
Description: partial 16S ribosomal RNA
Rfam family: Bacterial small subunit ribosomal RNA
Source: RNAcentral